Non-coding RNA from Schizosaccharomyces pombe (fission yeast), 406 nucleotides. NCBI's taxonomy places the organism in Eukaryota, Fungi, Ascomycota, Schizosaccharomycetes, Schizosaccharomycetales, Schizosaccharomycetaceae. The record is from the annotation of a GenBank genome assembly.
UUGUGACAAAAACAUCCUCAACAUUUUGCUGUCACAAACCUCUGGCAUUCUGAAUAAUGAUUGAAGAUAUUCUUCUAAAGCACCCCUUCGAUAUUCCAAAACAUUUUUGUUUAAAGAGGUGAUGAUCGAUUUUUGAGGAAAUUUUAAAGAUCUGACUCCAGGGUAUGUUUGCUUUAGCUGCUUAUGCAACUCUGCAAACUCUCGAUACCGUCUAGCCACCAUCCAUCCGGAACGGACAUGUCCAUUUUCAAGUCGUUCAAUGCGUAUGGUGUAAACAGCAAAGUCUGGGGUGUUCUCCUCUUUGCUAAUUUUAAAUGAAUCAAUAGACACCCGAGAGCGAUUAAAGAGUUUACUGUCUUCUUCUUGCGACAUAUACUGAUCUCGUUGACGUUCUUUGCGGUGAAUU